Molecule: ribosomal RNA, 464 nt
Filed under: uncultured bacterium
Lineage: Bacteria
Description: partial 16S ribosomal RNA
Rfam family: Bacterial small subunit ribosomal RNA
Source: RNAcentral
ACGAACGCUGGCGGCGUGCUUAACACAUGCAAGUCGAACGGAAAGGCCCCUUUGGGGGUACUCGAGUGGCGAACGGGUGAGUAACACGUGAGUAACCUGCCCUUGACUUCGGGAUAACUUCAGGAAACUGGGGCUAAUACCGGAUAGGAAUCCUUGCUGCAUGGUGGGGGUUGGAAAGCUUCGGCGGUUUUGGAUGGACUCGCGGCUUAUCAGCUUGUUGGUGGGGUAGUGGCUUACCAAGGCUUUGACGGGUAGCCGGCCUGAGAGGGCGACCGGCCACAUUGGGACUGAGAGACGGCCCAGACUCCUACGGGAGGCAGCAGUGGGGAAGAUUGCACAAUGGGCGGAAGCCUGAUGCAGCAACGCCGCGUGCGGGAUGACGGCCUUCGGGUUGUAAACCGCUUUCAGCAGGGGCGAAGCUUGUGGUGACGGUACCUGCAGAAGAAGCACCGGCUAACUACGUG